RNAcentral lists this ribosomal RNA (301 nucleotides) under uncultured bacterium. Its description in RNAcentral is "partial 16S ribosomal RNA". It matches the Rfam family "Bacterial small subunit ribosomal RNA", at positions 509 to 807 of the family's 1533-position model. The record is from RNAcentral.
CAGUAGCCACGGUAAUACGUAGGUGGCAAGCGUUAUCCGGAAUUAUUGGGCGUAAAGCGCGCGUAGGCGGUUUUUUAAGUCUGAUGUGAAAGCCCACGGCUCAACCGUGGAGGGUCAUUGGAAACUGGAAAACUUGAGUGCAGAAGAGGAAAGUGGAAUUCCAUGUGUAGCGGUGAAAUGCGCAGAGAUAUGGAGGAACACCAGUGGCGAAGGCGACUUUCUGGUCUGUAACUGACGCUGAUGUGCGAAAGCGUGGGGAUCAAACAGGAUUAGAGACCCGCGUAGUCCCUGUCUCUUAUAC